Molecule: unclassified non-coding RNA, 212 nt
Filed under: Hevea brasiliensis (rubber tree)
Lineage: Eukaryota; Viridiplantae; Streptophyta; Magnoliopsida; Malpighiales; Euphorbiaceae
Source: RNAcentral
GAUGUUCUAUUUUGAGUCUUUUUUCCAUGUGUUUGAGAAUGAUUUGUUUUAGCUUAUUUUAGGUAAUUUAGACAUUUUUUUUAAUAUUUAGCAGGAGUUUUUCAAUGAUCUAUUAGUAACAUAUCUUAGUUUAUUGCUUUUUAUUGUGGUUUUAGUAAUACCACAAGUAUAUAUCAUAUUUGGGUAUAUAUUUUGGUAGAGUUAGUAUAUUG